AGUACCUUAAACUUCUAUGAGGGCGCAGGUGAGCUAAAUAAACAUCAUGUUUCACUGUUAGACAUUCUUAGUGAGUGACACAUUUCUCUGUGAAAAGACACAAGGAGGAGAUUUUUGUCAAUUAACACAACUUUCACAUGGUUGAAAUGAAACCAGCAUGAUUAAAAAAGUACUAGUUUGUCCACAGGGGGCACUAGAGUCAACCUGGAAAGUUCCUCACAAGAGCUGUAAAAGAAUGACAUGAUUGUUGUAGCCUAGCCAGUCAGGCAGUCUGUCCCUCCUCCUGCCGUGACAGAGAAGAUCCCAACACAAAGAUUUAAUCCAUGAAGAUUGACUAAUCUCUUCAAAUCUACAGGCCGUAUCUUGGGUUGAUCUAUCUUCUCAUCUUCCCAGUUUGGAUCCUUCUUCUUUCUUGGGUAAACAGAUGAUUCUAGAGGUUCGGCCCUAAGAGCCAAGGCAUUCAUGACCAACAGGAACUCCCCACGAUAUUGAAGACAACUGACUGUCUGCUGCAACCCAGCUGUGAAAUCAGGUAAGGCUAAAAUGACAGAAGUAAUUGCUUUUGAUAACUGUAAUCUAAGUCCAUAUCCCUCAUUUUAUUAGGAGUGUCUACAAUGUUGUUUGACAUUUCUUUCUUCUUCUUUUUCUCUGUCCAUUUCCACCCCUGCUGGCAUUCUUCACUCAUGCAGAUGUAACAGAAAACAAGAAACCAGAUUUUGCUUAACACAGGCAACUAAUGAAUCACAUUUUGGGGUAAAAACCUAGGUGUGUUCAGAUUUAUAUUAAUCUGUGGAUGAUUUUUCUUCUAUGAUGUCAGAUCACUCUGCGUACAUGACUUCAGUGAUCAGG
RNAcentral lists this long non-coding RNA (849 nucleotides) under Xyrichtys novacula (pearly razorfish). The record is from RNAcentral. Lineage: Eukaryota; Metazoa; Chordata; Actinopteri; Labriformes; Labridae.